UUACUAGGGUAUAGCCCAGAGAAAUUUGGAUUAAUCCCCUAUAAUAUCAUUUAAUCGCAUGAUUUUAUGAUUAAAGCUUCGGCGGUAAAAGAUGAGCAUGCGUCCUAUUAGUUAGUAGGUGAGGUAACGGCUCACCUAGACUCCGAUAGGUAGGGGUCCUGAGAGGGAGAUCCCCCACACUGGUACUGAGACACGGACCAGACUCCUACGGGAGGCAGCAGUGAGGAAUAUUGGACAAUGGACGAAAGUCUGAUCCAGCUAUGCCGCGUGCAGGAUGACGGCCCUAUGGGUUGUAAACUGCUUUUAUACAGGAAGAAAAACUCCGACGUGUCG
RNAcentral lists this ribosomal RNA (333 nucleotides) under uncultured Flavobacterium sp. RNAcentral's name for it is "bacterial SSU rRNA". It matches the Rfam family "Bacterial small subunit ribosomal RNA", at positions 133 to 465 of the family's 1533-position model. The record is from RNAcentral. Lineage: Bacteria; Pseudomonadati; Bacteroidota; Flavobacteriia; Flavobacteriales; Flavobacteriaceae.